GUGGAGGGUUCGAUUCUGGCUCAGGAUGAACGCUGGCGGCGUGCUUAACACAUGCAAGUCGAACGGGAUCCAGGCAGCUUGCUGCCUGGUGAGAGUGGCGAACGGGUGAGUAAUGCGUGACCGACCUGCCCCGUACACCGGAAUAGCUCCUGGAAACGGGUGGUAAUGCCGGAUGCUCCAAUGCGAUGCAUGUCGCGUUGGGAAAGAUUUCAUCGGUACGGGAUGGGGUCGCGUCCUAUCAGGUAGUCGGCGGGGUAACGGCCCACCGAGCCUACGACGGGUAGCCGGCCUGAGAGGGCGACCGGCCACAUUGGGACUGAGAUACGGCCCAGACUCCUACGGGAGGCAGCAGUGGGGAAUAUUGCACAAUGGGCGCAAGCCUGAUGCAGCGACGCCGCGUGCGGGAUGGAGGCCUUCGGGUUGUAAACCGCUUUUGUCGGGGAGCAAGCCUUCGGGUGAGUGUACCCUUC
This 470-nucleotide ribosomal RNA is filed under the name Bifidobacterium merycicum. Its description in RNAcentral is "partial 23S ribosomal RNA". It matches the Rfam family "Bacterial small subunit ribosomal RNA", at positions 1 to 483 of the family's 1533-position model. The record is from RNAcentral. Lineage: Bacteria; Bacillati; Actinomycetota; Actinomycetes; Bifidobacteriales; Bifidobacteriaceae.